This 253-nucleotide unclassified non-coding RNA is filed under the name uncultured Gammaproteobacteria bacterium. RNAcentral's name for it is "contains 16S-23S intergenic spacer region". It matches the Rfam family "Bacterial small subunit ribosomal RNA", at positions 524 to 776 of the family's 1533-position model. The record is from RNAcentral. Lineage: Bacteria; Pseudomonadati; Pseudomonadota; Gammaproteobacteria.
UACGUAGGGUGCGAGCGUUAAUCGGAAUUACUGGGCGUAAAGCGUGCGUAGGCGGACAUUCAAGUCAGGCGUGAAAGCCCUGGGCUUAACCUAGGAAUUGCGUUUGAGACUGAAUGUCUGGAGUGUGGCAGAGGGAGGUAGAAUUCCACGUGUAGCAGUGAAAUGCGUAGAGAUGUGGAGGAAUACCGAUGGCGAAGGCAGCCUCCUGGGCUAACACUGACGCUGAUGCACGAAAGCGUGGGGAGCAAACAGG